CGGAAACUCCGGCGUUAGCUUCACCAAUUCGCCCGACGAUGAAUUUGAUAUCGGCCUAAAGGCCCUGCUUUGGUUGCGGACGGCUCAUCGGGUAAUGGAACUGGUCACCACUACCCUACCAGGACAGUAUGAUGGUGACGAGCA
This 144-nucleotide small nuclear RNA is filed under the name Extubocellulus spinifer. RNAcentral describes it as "partial Dictyostelium signal recognition particle". The record is from RNAcentral. Lineage: Eukaryota; Bacillariophyta; Thalassiosirophyceae; Cymatosirales; Cymatosiraceae.